RNAcentral lists this unclassified non-coding RNA (240 nucleotides) under Hevea brasiliensis (rubber tree). Lineage: Eukaryota; Viridiplantae; Streptophyta; Magnoliopsida; Malpighiales; Euphorbiaceae. The record is from RNAcentral.
AUUGAAAUACCACUGAUGAGUAGUUUUACUAUUCCUUGUCAUCUUGCCGUGACAUACAUCUACCUAUUCUGGAACACUACUUUAAAAAGUGUAAAUUAUCAUUAGUUUACAUUGCCUGUGAAAUACCUUAUUGUUAUUGACCAAUUCAUGAUAAGAGAAUGCAUAUUGCUAAUAUAUCAUGACAAGAGAGGGUAUAUUGCUUAUCAAUUAGAUUGAGAAUACUCAACUCAACUCAACUGA